CAGCCCUAAACGAUGCGCGUUAGGUGUAUCGGUGACCACGAGUCACCGAGGUGCCGAAGGGAAACCGUGAAACGUGCCGCCUGGGAAGUACGGUCGCAAGGCUGAAGCUUAAAGGAAUUGGCGGGGGAGCACCACAACGGGUGGAGCCUGCGGUUUAAUUGGACUCAACGCCGGAAAUCUCACCGGAUAGGACAGACAUAUGAUAGUCGGGCUGAAGACUCUACUUGAUGAUCUGAGAGGUGGUGCAUGGCGUCAGUGACU
RNAcentral lists this ribosomal RNA (261 nucleotides) under uncultured archaeon. RNAcentral's name for it is "partial 16S ribosomal RNA". It matches the Rfam family "Archaeal small subunit ribosomal RNA", at positions 748 to 1008 of the family's 1478-position model. The record is from RNAcentral.